RNAcentral lists this ribosomal RNA (429 nucleotides) under Reticulitermes flavipes (eastern subterranean termite). RNAcentral describes it as "partial 16S ribosomal RNA". It matches the Rfam family "Archaeal large subunit ribosomal RNA", at positions 1889 to 2554 of the family's 2987-position model. The record is from RNAcentral. Lineage: Eukaryota; Metazoa; Arthropoda; Insecta; Blattodea; Rhinotermitidae.
CGCCUGUUUAUCAAAAACAUCUCUUCUCGUUAGUUUUUGAAGUAUGGCCUGCCCACUGACCUUGAAUGUUGAAGGGCCGCGGUAUUUUGACCGUGCAAAGGUAGCAUAGUCAUUAGUUCUUUAAUUGUGAUCUGGUAUGAAUGGCUUGACGAGGCAUAGGCUGUCUUAAUUUUGAAUUGUUUAUUGAAUUUGGUCUUUGAGUUAAAAUUCUUAGAUGUUUUUAUGGGACGAGAAGACCCUAUAGAGUUUGACAUUUAUUCACGGUCUCUUUCUGUUUGUGAGGGUUCACUAGGGCUGUUUAAUAUGUUUUGUUGGGGUGAUGGGAGGGAUAUUAUUUAACCCCUCCUUUGUGUUGUUAUAUUUAUUUAUAUUUGCUUGAUCCAUUUAUUUUGAUUGUAAGAUUAAAUUACCUUAGGGAUAACAGCGUAA